AGCGGUUGAGAAGGCAGCCUGGGAGCGGGCAGGAAGCUUGCUCACCCGCUGGCGACCGACUGCCUUAUUUGCUGUCAUAGCGGGGAGGGUGAAUGAGAGAGUGAAAGGAUGGAGAUUCUCCUCUUCGCGAAUACUAAACCAAUUCAAGGUCCCCACCCGACACUGGGUGGCAGCGCUGGGAUUGGGCACCAAGGCGCCGAGGCCAGCCUCCGCUUCCAGCCGAGGGCGGUGACUAGGGGAUCCCUCCUCUGGCUUCUAACCAGACAACCCUCCUGAGUCCUGGGGCUGCUUCUGCUUCUGACAGAGCACCUGGAAGAAAUUCUCACCUGAAAACCCCACCUCAGACAUCUCGAGUGUCCGCCCGGCAGGCUAACCGCCCUUCUUUCCUGCUGAGGUGGAGCUCUGGACUCCCACCCUGGCAGGGCCACACGAUCCUUCCUUCCCCUCCUCAGCCGACCGCACCAAAGAAACCAGAACCCAGGCCGAAGUAUCAGAAACGUGUAUUCUUUUUCUUUUAAUAGUAAACCUCUUUACAACAAAUAUAGUGAAAGAGUUUUCAAACAAAA
Molecule: long non-coding RNA, 566 nt
Organism: Balaenoptera ricei (Rice's whale)
Lineage: Eukaryota; Metazoa; Chordata; Mammalia; Artiodactyla; Balaenopteridae
Exons: 3
Source: RefSeq, a predicted model, not a curated record